UACGGGGGGGGCAAGCGUUGUUCGGAAUUACUGGGCGUAAAGGGCUCGUAGGCGGCCAACUAAGUCGGACGUGAAAUCCCCAGGCUCAACCUGGGAACUGCGUCCGAUACUGGAUGGCUUGAAUCCGGGAGAGGGAUGCAGAAUUCCAGGUGUAGCGGUGAAAUGCGCAGAUAUCAGGAGGAACACCGGUGGCGAAGGCGGGUCUCUGGGCCGAAACUGACGCUGAGGAGCGAAAGCGUGGGGAGCAAACAGG
Molecule: ribosomal RNA, 253 nt
Filed under: uncultured bacterium
Lineage: Bacteria
Description: partial 16S ribosomal RNA
Rfam family: Bacterial small subunit ribosomal RNA
Source: RNAcentral